RNAcentral lists this long non-coding RNA (228 nucleotides) under Capsicum annuum. RNAcentral's name for it is "long non-coding RNA (CANN_LNC009820)". Lineage: Eukaryota; Viridiplantae; Streptophyta; Magnoliopsida; Solanales; Solanaceae. The record is from RNAcentral.
UUUCUUCUUAUUUUUUCCCCCUUCUCCACCACUACCAAAAAUGCCAUAACCCCAGUCUACCACCAUAGCAGACGCGACCACCUACACCUGCAUGAGAAUCUCCCCCAAAUCACCCCAAGACAGUAAAUCGCCAAAGAAUCAGAAGAAACAGUCUCCAUUUUGUAAAAAUCGGCCAUUAAUGGGUCUGAAAAGUUGAUUUAAAGAAGAUUCUUGAUUCAAAAUUUGAAA